UCCGUAGGCUGGCAGCUCAGUCAGUGGUGAAAGUUUGCAGCUCAACUGUAAAAUUGCCAUUGAUACUGGUUGUCUUGAAUUAAUGUGAAGUGGUUAGAAUAUGUAGUGUAGCGGUGAAAUGCAUAGAUAUUACAUAGAAUACCAAUUGCGAAGGCAGAUCACUAACAUUAUAUUGACGCUGAUGGACGAAAGCGUGGGGAGCGAACAGGAUUAGAUACCCUGGUAGUCC
Molecule: ribosomal RNA, 229 nt
Filed under: uncultured bacterium
Lineage: Bacteria
Description: partial 16S ribosomal RNA
Rfam family: Bacterial small subunit ribosomal RNA
Source: RNAcentral